RNAcentral lists this long non-coding RNA (430 nucleotides) under Elaeis guineensis (African oil palm). Its description in RNAcentral is "long non-coding RNA (EGUI_LNC081092)". The record is from RNAcentral. Lineage: Eukaryota; Viridiplantae; Streptophyta; Magnoliopsida; Arecales; Arecaceae.
CCUUUGAAGGCGGGCAACCUCAUCAGUCACCAUCCUGAGCUUCCCCCUAUAGUCGUCCACCUACUUGCACCAGCCAGCUCGGUAUGCGUUAUAGCUCGCCUCGGCAUCCUGGAGCUGUUGCUGAAGGUCAGAGAGUUUCUUCGAAUAUUUUCGAUCACAGUCGGGCCGAGUCGAAAGCUGGGAUGAGCUUCCUUCCAACUGGCUAAUCCUCUCCUGCGCAGCCGACAGCUCCACUCUGAGAGAGCUGAUCUUGGCAGCUUGGGCCCAAGAUCGAUCACUGGCGUGCUUCUUAUGUUCCUCGAGCUCCUUCUCGAAGUUCACUUUCCUCUGGCUGUACUCCAUGAUCCCCUUCACGUGGAGGUUCCGAAAGUAGGUGGCCUCCGCGGUGGCCUCAAAGUGACUCUCUCUCAACCUGUGAAGUUCACCAUCC